AGCAGCCGCGGUAAUUCCAGCUCCAAUAGCGUAUAUUAAAGUUGUUGCAGUUAAAAAGCUCGUAGUUGAAUUUCGGGGUCAGUAGGUUGGUCGUGCCACUGGUAUGUACUGGUCUCACUGAUUCCUCCUUCCUGAUGAGCCGUAAUGCCAUUAAUUUGGUGUUGCGAGGAAUCUGGACUGUUACUUUGAAAAAAUUAGAGUGUUUAAAGCAGGCUAACGCUUGAAUACAUUAGCAUGGAAUAAUGGAAUAGGACGUUCGAUCCUAUUUUGUUGGUUUCUAGGAUUGACGUAAUGAUUAAUAGGGAUAGUUGGGGGCAUUAGUAUUCAAUUGUCAGAGUGAAAUUCUUGGAUUUAUUGAAGACUAACUACUGCGAAAGCAUUUGCCAAGGAUGUUUUCUAUUAAUUCAAGAACGAAAGUUAGGGGAUCGAAGACGAUCAGAUACCGUCGUAGUACUUAACCAUAAACUAAUGCCGACUAGGGAUCGGAUGAUGUUAUUUUUAAUGACU
RNAcentral lists this ribosomal RNA (507 nucleotides) under uncultured Glomus. Its description in RNAcentral is "SSU rRNA". It matches the Rfam family "Eukaryotic small subunit ribosomal RNA", at positions 569 to 1076 of the family's 1831-position model. Lineage: Eukaryota; Fungi; Glomeromycota; Glomeromycetes; Glomerales; Glomeraceae. The record is from RNAcentral.